This 420-nucleotide ribosomal RNA is filed under the name uncultured archaeon. RNAcentral describes it as "bacterial SSU rRNA". It matches the Rfam family "Archaeal small subunit ribosomal RNA", at positions 459 to 879 of the family's 1478-position model. The record is from RNAcentral.
CAGCCGCCGCGGUAAAACCAGCACCUCAAGUGGUCAGGAUGAUUAUUGGGCCUAAAGCAUCCGUAGCCGGCUCUGUAAGUCCUCGGUUAAAUCUGUACGCUUAACGUACAGGCUGCCGGGAAUACUGCAUAGCUAGGGAGUGGGAGAGGUAGACGGUACUCGGUAGGAAGGAGUAAAAUCCUUUGAUCUAUUGAUGACCACCUGUGGCGAAGGCGGCCUACCAGAACACGUCCGACGGUGAGGGAUGAAAGCUGGGGGAGCAAACCGGAUUAGAUACCCGGGUAGUCCCAGCUGUAAACUAUGCAAACUCAGUGAUGCAUUGGCUUGUGGCCAAUGCAGUGCUGCAGGGAAGCCGUUAAGUUUGCCGCCUGGGAAGUACGUACGCAAGUAUGAAACUUAAAGGAAUUGGCGGGGGAGCAC